UCCACACUCAUGUGUGUAGGACUCAAAAAGACCACUAUUAAAUUUGACACAGAUCUCUAAAAAAGUUAUCACAUAAGUGUGAGACUUGACUUUUCUAGAGAUCUGUGCUAAAUUUAAUAGUGAUCAUUUGGGGUCCUACACACAUAGGUGUGGG
Molecule: microRNA precursor, 154 nt
Filed under: Amborella trichopoda
Lineage: Eukaryota; Viridiplantae; Streptophyta; Magnoliopsida; Amborellales; Amborellaceae
Description: MIR8565 microRNA precursor family
Rfam family: MIR8565 microRNA precursor family
Source: Rfam by way of RNAcentral